GUCGUGCAAACAACUAGAAAAUACUUUAUUAAACAAUAAAAUACUGUACAUAAAUAAUCAAGUUACAAAAAAUUCAUCGCAAGCUUCUUCGUGUGCAUGUAUAGAAAAGUAAAAAUUGUUUAUUAAAUAAUACUAUGCUCCAGAGCCGUUUGUAUCUAUCUUUCUAUUAUAGUUAAUUUGAAAACCUCGUGUAUCAGUGUAUGUGAUAUUUAUAAUUAAUAAAUAUUUAUAAUAUAGCAUUUGUAAAUUCUGAACGCUGAUUGGCUAAGAGCCGUUUUGACAUACACUGUAACGGAAUGUCAACACGGAAA
Molecule: non-coding RNA, 311 nt
Organism: Paramuricea clavata
Lineage: Eukaryota; Metazoa; Cnidaria; Anthozoa; Malacalcyonacea; Plexauridae
Source: the annotation of a GenBank genome assembly